RNAcentral lists this small RNA (125 nucleotides) under Marmota monax (woodchuck). The record is from RNAcentral. Lineage: Eukaryota; Metazoa; Chordata; Mammalia; Rodentia; Sciuridae.
GCUGGGUGCAGUGGUGAACGCCUGUAAUCCCAGUGGCUCAGGAGGCUGAGGCAGGAGGAUCACGAGUUCAAAGCCAGCCUCAGCAAAGGCGAGGCACCAAGCAACUCAGGGAGACCCUGUAUCUA